This 388-nucleotide ribosomal RNA is filed under the name uncultured archaeon. Its description in RNAcentral is "bacterial SSU rRNA". It matches the Rfam family "Archaeal small subunit ribosomal RNA", at positions 85 to 479 of the family's 1478-position model. The record is from RNAcentral.
ACUGCUCAGUAACACGUAGCUAACCUACCCUUAAGUCAAGGAUACUCUCGGGAAACUGAGGUUAAUACUUGAUAGGAGAUGUACCCUGGAAUGAUUCAUCUCUCAAACUCGUGCUUAAGGAUGGGGCUGCGGCGGAUUAGGUUGUUGGCGGGGUAAUAGCCCACCAAGCCAAUGAUCCGUAAGGGCUCUUAGCGGAGAGGCCCUGAGAGGGAAUCUGAGACACUAUUCCCAGCCCUACGGGGUGCAGCAGUUAGGAAUCUUCUGCAAUGCGCGCAAGCGUGACAGAUUGAGUCAGAGUGCUUUUCAUAUGAAAAGCUUUUGCCAAAUGUAAAAAGUUUGGCGAAUAAGGACUGGGUAAGACGGGUGCCAGCAGCCGCGGUAAUACGAU